This 254-nucleotide ribosomal RNA is filed under the name uncultured bacterium. RNAcentral describes it as "partial 16S ribosomal RNA". It matches the Rfam family "Bacterial small subunit ribosomal RNA", at positions 524 to 776 of the family's 1533-position model. The record is from RNAcentral.
UACGGGGGGAGCAAGCGUUGUUCGGAUUUACUGGGCGUAAAGGGCGGGUAGGCGGCCACCGCAAGUCAGUUGUGAAAUCUCUGGGCUUAACCCAGAAAGGUCAACUGAUACUGCGGGGCUAGAGUGUAGAAGGGGCAACUGGAAUUCUCGGUGUAGCGGUGAAAUGCGUAGAUAUCGAGAGGAACACCUGCGGCGAAGGCGGGUUGCUGGGCUGACACUGACGCUGAACUGCGAAAGCUAGGGGAGCGAACGGG